AUUGAACGCUGGCGGCAGGCCUAACACAUGCAAGUCGAGCGGAUGAAGGGAGCUUGCCCCUGGAUUCAGCGGCGGACGGGUGAGUAAUGCCUAGGAAUCUGCCUGGUAGUGGGGGAUAACGUCCGGAAACGGGCGCUAGUACCGCAUACGUCCUGAGGGAGAAAGUGGGGGAUCUUCGGACCUCACGCUAUCAGAUGAGCCUAGGUCGGAUUAGCUAGUUGGUGGGGUAAAGGCCUACCAAGGCGACGAUCCGUAACUGGUCUGAGAGGAUGAUCAGUCACACUGGAACUGAGACACGGUCCAGACUCCUACGGGAGGCAGCAGUGGGGAAUAUUGGACAAUGGGCGAAAGCCUGAUCCAGCCAUGCCGCGUGUGUGAAGAAGGUCUUCGGAUUGUAAAGCACUUUAAGUUGGGAGGAAGGGCAGUAAGUUAAUACCUUGCUGUUUUGACGUUACCAACAGAAUAAGCACCGGCUAACUUCGUG
RNAcentral lists this ribosomal RNA (484 nucleotides) under uncultured bacterium. RNAcentral describes it as "partial 16S ribosomal RNA". It matches the Rfam family "Bacterial small subunit ribosomal RNA", at positions 30 to 507 of the family's 1533-position model. The record is from RNAcentral.